GUUUUAAUUUAUCGAUAAAUUAAUAUUUAUUAAUUUAUAGAGAGAUUUUCCUAAUUUAGUAAUU
This 64-nucleotide small RNA is filed under the name Arabidopsis thaliana (thale cress). RNAcentral describes it as "ATSL203190". The record is from RNAcentral. Lineage: Eukaryota; Viridiplantae; Streptophyta; Magnoliopsida; Brassicales; Brassicaceae.